AAAGACUUGACGGUACUUCACAACAACCUAGAGGAGCCUGUCUAAUAACCGAUACCCCACGAUUAACCCAACCCACCCUAGCCCAUCAGUCUAUAUACCGCCGUCGCCAGCUUACCUUGUGAAAGAAACAAAGUGAACUAAACAGACCCCCCCCUAGCACGACAGGUCGAGGUGUAACAAAUGGGUGGGUAAAAGAUGGGCUACAUUUUCUAAAACAGAAAACACGGACAAACUAUGAAACUAGAAACUGAAGGCGGAUUUAGCAGUAUGUUAAAGACACAAUACUUA
RNAcentral lists this ribosomal RNA (288 nucleotides) under Tretanorhinus variabilis. Its description in RNAcentral is "partial 12S ribosomal RNA". Lineage: Eukaryota; Metazoa; Chordata; Lepidosauria; Squamata; Dipsadidae. The record is from RNAcentral.